UACGUAGGGUGCAAGCGUUGUCCGGAAUUAUUGGGCGUAAAGAGCUCGUAGGCGGUCUGUUGCGUCGGCUGUGAAAACCCGGGGCUCAACUCCGGGCCUGCAGCCGAUACGGGCAGACUAGAGUUCGGCAGGGGAGACUGGAAUUCCUGGUGUAGCGGUGAAAUGCGCAGAUACCAGGAGGAACACCGGUGGCGAAGGCGGGUCUCUGGGCCGAUACUGACGCUGAGGAGCGAAAGCGUGGGGAGCGAACAGG
RNAcentral lists this ribosomal RNA (253 nucleotides) under uncultured bacterium. RNAcentral describes it as "partial 16S ribosomal RNA". It matches the Rfam family "Bacterial small subunit ribosomal RNA", at positions 524 to 776 of the family's 1533-position model. The record is from RNAcentral.